UACUAGGAUGGGUGACCUCCCGGGA
RNAcentral lists this small RNA (25 nucleotides) under Arabidopsis thaliana (thale cress). RNAcentral's name for it is "snRNA_02593". The record is from RNAcentral. Lineage: Eukaryota; Viridiplantae; Streptophyta; Magnoliopsida; Brassicales; Brassicaceae.